This 90-nucleotide non-coding RNA is filed under the name unclassified sequences. Its description in RNAcentral is "freshwater-2 RNA". It matches the Rfam family "freshwater-2 RNA". From Rfam's summary of the family: Aquatic, esp. fresh water. No recognized genes The record is from RNAcentral.
CGUCGUCAUAUAGAUGGGACUUAUGCGGAAUAACCACCGCGUACCCAGGAGAACUGGGAUUGGACUCCUAAAAAGAGGAGAAAACAAAUG